AGAGUUUGAUCCUGGCUCAGGAUCAACGCUGGCGGCGUGCCUAAUGCAUGCAAGUCGAACGGAGCCGCCUUCGGGCGGUCACGUGGCGGACGGGUGAGGAACACGUGGGCGAUCUGCCCCGGGGCGGGGGAUAGCCACCAGAAAUGGUGGGUAAUACCGCAUGAGCUCGGCGACUUACGGGUCACCGAGGAAAGGCGCAAGCCACCCUGGGAGGAGCCUGCGGCGGAUUAGCUAGUUGGCGGGGUAACGGCUCACCAAGGCGAUGAUCCGUAGCUGGUCUGAGAGGACGGCCAGCCACAGGGGAACUGAGACACGGUCCCCACUCCUACGGGAGGCAGCAGCAAGGAAUUUUCCGCAAUGGGCGAAAGCCUGACGGAGCAACGCCGCGUGGGGGAUGACGCUUUUCGGAGUGUAAACCCCUUUUCUCAGGGAUGAACAAAAUGACAGUACCUGAGGAAGAAGGCCCGGCUAACUACGUGCCAGCCGCCGCGGUAAUAC
RNAcentral lists this ribosomal RNA (498 nucleotides) under uncultured bacterium. RNAcentral describes it as "bacterial SSU rRNA". It matches the Rfam family "Bacterial small subunit ribosomal RNA", at positions 8 to 526 of the family's 1533-position model. The record is from RNAcentral.